CCCUUAGACGUUCUGGGCCGCACGCGCGCUACACUGACCGGUGUAACAAGCAUCCGUCCUUGGCCGACAGGCCCGGGCAAUCUUUGAACGCCGGUCGUGAUGGGGAUAGACUUUUGCAAUUUUUGGUCUUCAACGAGGAAUUCCUAGUAAACGCAAGUCAUCAACUUGCAUUGAUUACGUCCCUGCCCUUUGUACACACCGCCCGUCGCACCUACCGAUUGAAUGGUCCGGUGAAGCCUCCGGAUUGGCGCGCACCUCGGUGCCGCCGAGAAGUUGGCUAAACCUUACCAUUUAGAGGAAGGUGAAGUCGUAACA
This 315-nucleotide ribosomal RNA is filed under the name uncultured eukaryote. RNAcentral's name for it is "partial 18S ribosomal RNA". It matches the Rfam family "Eukaryotic small subunit ribosomal RNA", at positions 1470 to 1796 of the family's 1831-position model. The record is from RNAcentral.